GGGUUGUGAGGUUAAGCGACUAAGCGUACACGGUGGAUGCCCUGGCAGUCAGAGGCGAUGAAGGGCGUGCUAAUCUGCGAUAAGCGCCGGUAAGGUGAUAUGAACCGUUAUAACCGGCGAUACCCGAAUGGGGAAACCCAGUGUGAUUCGUCACACUAUCAUUAACUGAAUCCAUAGGUUAAUGAGGCGAACCGGGGGAACUGAAACAUCUAAGUACCCCGAGGAAAAGAAAUCAACCGAGAUUCCCCCAGUAGCGGCGAGCGAACGGGGAGGAGCCCAGAGCCUGAAUCAGCAUGUGUGUUAGUGGAAGCGUCUGGAAAGGCGCGCGAUACAGGGUGACAGCCCCGUACACAAAAGCGCAUGUGCUGUGAGCUCGAUGAGUAGGGCGGGACACGUGGUAUCCUGUCUGAAUAUGGGGGGACCAUCCUCCAAGGCUAAAUACUCCUGACUGACCGAUAGUGAACCAGUACCGUGAGGGAAAGGCGAAAAGAACCCCGGCGAGGGGAGUGAAAAAGAACCUGAAACCGUGUACGUACAAGCAGUGGGAGCACCCUUUGGGUGUGACUGCGUACCUUUUGUAUAAUGGGUCAGCGACUUAUAUUCUGUAGCAAGGUUAACCGAAUAGGGGAGCCGGAGGGAAACCGAGUCUUAACCGGGCGUUAAGUUGCAGGGUAUAGACCCGAAACCCGGUGAUCUAGCCAUGGGCAGGUUGAAGGUUGGGUAACAC
This 727-nucleotide ribosomal RNA is filed under the name Salmonella enterica subsp. enterica serovar Typhimurium str. SL1344. RNAcentral describes it as "partial 23S ribosomal RNA". It matches the Rfam family "Bacterial large subunit ribosomal RNA", at positions 1 to 762 of the family's 2925-position model. The record is from RNAcentral. Lineage: Bacteria; Pseudomonadati; Pseudomonadota; Gammaproteobacteria; Enterobacterales; Enterobacteriaceae.